RNAcentral lists this ribosomal RNA (253 nucleotides) under uncultured bacterium. RNAcentral's name for it is "partial 16S ribosomal RNA". It matches the Rfam family "Bacterial small subunit ribosomal RNA", at positions 524 to 776 of the family's 1533-position model. The record is from RNAcentral.
UACAGAGGUCCCAAGCGUUGUUCGGAUUUACUGGGCGUAAAGGGUGCGUAGGUGGUCGGGUAAGUCUCAUGUGAAAUCCCGCAGCUUAACUGCGGAACGGCAUGGGAUACUAUUCGGCUCGAGGAUUGGAGGGGGGACUGGAAUUCCCGGUGUAGCAGUGAAAUGCGUAGAUAUCGGGAGGAACACCAGUGGCGAAGGCGAGUCCCUGGACAAUUCCUGACGCUGAGGCACGAAGGCCAGGGGAGCAAACGGG